Molecule: unclassified non-coding RNA, 391 nt
Filed under: soil metagenome
Description: partial contains 5.8S ribosomal RNA, internal transcribed spacer 2, and large subunit ribosomal RNA
Rfam family: 5.8S ribosomal RNA (bases 1-122)
Source: RNAcentral
GAUGAAGAACGUAGCGAAAUACGAUACUUGGUGUGAAUUGCAGAAUCCCGUGAACCAUCGAGUCUUUGAACGCAAGUUGCGCCCGAAGCCAUUAGGCCGAGGGCACGCCUGCCUGGGUGUCAUACGUCGUUGCCCCCCCAUCUACUCCUUCGGGAUUGCGGGGGGCGGAUGAUGGCCUCCCGUGCGCCUCGUCGCGCGGUUGGCAUAAAUGCCAAGUCCUCGGCGACGCACGCCACGACAAUCGGUGGUUGCGAAACCUCGGUUGCCCGUCGUGUGCGGUCGUCGCGCAUCGAGGGCUCGAAAAAAUUGCCGGGCUCCGGCUCGGCUUUCAACGCGACCCCAGGUCAGGCGGGGUUACCCGCUGAAUUUAAGCAUAUCAAUAAGCGGAGGA